AGUUGGGCACUUUAAAGAGACUGCCGGUGUUAAGCCGGAGGAAGUGGGGAUGACGUCAAGUCCUCAUGGCCUUUAUGCCCAGGGCUACACACGUGCUACAAUGGGCGGUACAAAGAGAAGCAACCUCGCGAGGGUGAGCAAAUCUCAAAAAACCGUUCUCAGUUCGGAUUGAAGUCUGCAACUCGACUUCAUGAAGUCGGAAUCGCUAGUAAUCGCGGAUCAGCAUGCCGCGGUGAAUACGUUCCCGGGCCUU
This 253-nucleotide ribosomal RNA is filed under the name uncultured Syntrophaceae bacterium. RNAcentral's name for it is "partial 16S ribosomal RNA". It matches the Rfam family "Bacterial small subunit ribosomal RNA", at positions 1129 to 1382 of the family's 1533-position model. The record is from RNAcentral. Lineage: Bacteria; Pseudomonadati; Thermodesulfobacteriota; Syntrophia; Syntrophales; Syntrophaceae.